UUGUUUUAUAAAAGUAAAGAAGUAGGUUGGCAGCUACCUUGACAAAAAUGGAAAACCUUCUGGGGACCUUUAUCACACAUAUACAUUUAAAGUGUCACUACCUUUUUUGUAGCACCUAACAGUAUUUUUUU
Cavia porcellus (domestic guinea pig) is the source of this 131-nucleotide small nuclear RNA. The record is from Rfam. Lineage: Eukaryota; Metazoa; Chordata; Mammalia; Rodentia; Caviidae.